CUGGUUUCCCCCAGAGGAGAUAAGCUCAGAUAUGUGCUCCAGAUUCACUUUGAUUCCUCCAACAAUGAGGCAGAAUAUGAGGCCCUCUUAUAUGGGUUGCGCAUGGCCAUUUCACUCGGCGUCCGUCGCCUGAUGGUCUAUGGCGACUCGGAUUUAGUGGUCAAUCAAGUGAUGAAGGAGUGGGACGUGAGAAGCCCAGCCAUGACUGGAUACUGCAGUGCAGUGAGGAAGCUGGAAAAGAAGUUCGAGGGGUUGGAGCUCCAUCAUAUACCCCGACUGAAAAAUCAAGCAGCUGAUGAUCUAGCAAAGAUAGGUUCCAAGAGAGAAGCCAUUCCGAGUGGUGUGUUCUUGGAGCAUGUACACACUCCGUCAGUCAAAGAAGAUCCUUUCACCGAAGAA
Molecule: ribosomal RNA, 399 nt
Filed under: Triticum aestivum (bread wheat)
Lineage: Eukaryota; Viridiplantae; Streptophyta; Magnoliopsida; Poales; Poaceae
Description: partial small subunit ribosomal RNA
Source: RNAcentral